CAGUCGCCGCGGGAAUACGUAGGUGGUAAGCGUUGUCCGGAAUUAUUGGGCGUAAAGGGCUCGCAGGCGGUUUCUUAAGUCUAAUGUGAAAGCCCCCGGCUCAACCGGGGAGGGUCAUUGGAAACUGGGAAACUUGAGUGCAGAAGAGGAGAGUGGAAUUCCACGUGUAGCGGUGAAAUGCGUAGAGAUGUGGAGGAACACCAGUGGCGAAGGCGACUCUCUGGUCUGUAACUGACGCUGAGGAGCGAAAGCGUGGGGAGCGAACAGGAUUAGAUACCCCAGUAGUCCCUGUCUCUUAUAC
RNAcentral lists this ribosomal RNA (301 nucleotides) under uncultured bacterium. Its description in RNAcentral is "partial 16S ribosomal RNA". It matches the Rfam family "Bacterial small subunit ribosomal RNA", at positions 509 to 807 of the family's 1533-position model. The record is from RNAcentral.